Molecule: long non-coding RNA, 563 nt
Filed under: Anas platyrhynchos platyrhynchos (common mallard)
Lineage: Eukaryota; Metazoa; Chordata; Aves; Anseriformes; Anatidae
Description: lncRNA (ENSAPLG00000029300.1)
Source: RNAcentral
UUUGUUUGUUUGUUUUGGAUAACUGAUCCCACCUUAAUGUGAACAUUGGUGGAAUUAUUUUAAAUGUGACCAAGAAAAUGAGCUGUCAGGAAACAAAAAAAGUUCCAUCUAAGAUCUGUAUUCACACCCAGCUACACAUCAAACAGCUUGAGCUUGAUGGUUUGGUGGCAAAAUGUGGUUCUCUAUGCACCCACUGAGCUCAACUCAUCUAUUCCUACUGAAGGAACAGACGUUCCUGAGGAGCUCACCAAAACAGUUACAGAUAAGUGGGUAAUUCAGGGGAGUAGCUGCUGAACUGUUUUGAAUAUUUCAGUGUCAUAUCUUCAAAGACUGGGAUGGUAUUUCUCAUUCAGACAAGAAAAAGAGAGAAUGUUUUUCUACUUUCAAGUAUUUUUCUACUUUGUCCAUCUCCUCUUUCCUUCUGUAAUGAAAGCAAUAUGGAUAAACUACUUCAUAUGGCAACUGAAGAUCCACUGAACAGACAGCCUCAUGUGUCAUUUUUUCCAUCCAACUCUAAUGGGAAUAUACAUCUUGUUACCUGUGGUUGGUCCCUGGCUGAAUGA